CUCAUGUAAACACUGAGGUGGGAGGGCUGGAGGUGGAGUGGUGCCCGCGGUGAUAGUGACGUGAAUAUUGCUACAGCCUGCUUGCUUUUACCAUGUCUGACCCUGUCCCACCAGAGGAGGGUAUCGAUGAGUAUGAGCACUAUAACUAUGAACAGGACAAAUUCCUGAAUACAAAAGGCGGAAAAGGACGCUCGAAAGCUGAGGCGGCGGUGAAUCACGACCACCAUGAUCCCAGCGGCCACACGAGAAAAAUCGUCAACAAACUGCAUAACUCUGAGGCGAACAAAAAGUUGUCUCCAAAGAACAGCAAUAACUGAUGUCAGCUUUAAGGUCCCCAUGUGAUACAGAGCCGACGUGUCCAGGUCCGCCAGCGGCCGAGCGGCGGACCUGAGGACGAACGGACCCCCGGAGCAGCAGCAGCGGCCCCAGCCGCGGGCCGACGCCGCCGCCCGCACCGCGGGCCGGACACAAGGCGCCAGCCAGCGCCCGCGCUGCCCGAACUGCUGUACCGACCCACUACCAAAUACACGCCGCUGUGGUGUGA
This is a long non-coding RNA of Pollicipes pollicipes, 544 nucleotides long. RefSeq lists it as uncharacterized. The transcript is spliced from 2 exons. The record is from RefSeq and is a predicted model, not a curated record. Lineage: Eukaryota; Metazoa; Arthropoda; Thecostraca; Pollicipedomorpha; Pollicipedidae.